Molecule: ribosomal RNA, 860 nt
Filed under: uncultured organism
Description: bacterial SSU rRNA
Rfam family: Archaeal small subunit ribosomal RNA
Source: RNAcentral
CAGCCCCUCGAGUGGUGGGGACGAUUAUUGGGCCUAAAGCGUCCGUAGCCGGCCCGGUAAGUCCCUCGUUAAAUCCAGCGUCCCAAGCGCUGGGCUGCGGGGGAUACUGUCGGGCUAGGGGGCGGGAGAGGCCGGCGGUAUUCCCGGGGUAGGGGCGAAAUCCUUUGAUCCCGGGAGGACCACCAGUGGCGAAGGCGGCCGGCCAGAACGCGCUCGACGGUCAGGGACGAAAGCUGGGGGAGCGAACCGGAUUAGAUACCCGGGUAGUCCCAGCCGUAAACGAUGCGGGCUAGGUGUUGGGGCGGCCAUGGGCCGCCUCAGUGCCGCAGGGAAGCCGUUAAGCCCGCCGCCUGGGGAGUACGGCCGCAAGGCUGAAACUUAAAGGAAUUGGCGGGGGAGCACCACAAGGCGUGAAGCCUGCGGUUUAAUUGGAGUCAACGCCGGGAACCUUACCGGGGGCGACAGCAGGAUGAAGGCCAGGUUAAAGACCUUGCUAGACGAGCUGAGAGGAGGUGCAUGGCCGUCGCCAGUUCGUGCCGUGAGGUGUCCUCUUAAGUGAGGCAACGAACGAGACCCGCGCCCCAAGUUGCUCCCGAACCCUAAAGGGGUUCGGGCACUCUUGGGGGACCGCUGCCGAUGAGGCAGAGGAAGGGGCGGGCGACGGCAGGUCAGUAUGCCCCGAAUCCCCCGGGCCACACGCGGGCUGCAAUGGUAGGGACAGAGGGUUGCGACCCCGAGAGGGGGAGCCAAUCCCUAAACCCUACCUCAGUUGGGAUCGAGGGCUGCAACCCGCCCUCGUGAACGUGGAAUGCCUAGUAACCGCGCGUCACCAUCGCGCGGUGAAUACGUCCCUGCUCCUU